This 35368-nucleotide long non-coding RNA is filed under the name Gossypium raimondii (Peruvian cotton). Its description in RNAcentral is "long non-coding RNA (GRAI_LNC000968)". Lineage: Eukaryota; Viridiplantae; Streptophyta; Magnoliopsida; Malvales; Malvaceae. The record is from RNAcentral.
GGUUAGAACAAUCGGAGAAAGAUAUAUUUUUGGAUAUUGCAUGCUUCUUCAAAGGAGAAGACAAAGAUAUGGUAACCAAAAUUCUCGAUGGUUGUGGCUUUUUCCCGGAUAUUGGAAUAGAUGUUCUCAUCAAGAAAUCUCUUGUAACAAUUGAUGAAGACAACAAAUGUCGAUGCACGUCUUGUUACAAUAGAUGGGAAGGAAAAUUGUUUACCAAGAAUCUCCUAAUGAACCUGGAAAACGUAGUAGAUUGUGGGAGGAAAAUGAUACUAAUUAUGUGCUAAUAGAAAACACUGUAAGCCUUUAGCACUAUUAACUGUUACUCCACCCUUGAAUAUUUGUUGAUUCAUACGAUACUAGGAUGCAAGUCUAGCUUUGAACUAUUUUUGGACGUGCAUUGCAGUGUUAAGUCAUUAAAUUUACCGUAUUAAUUAGUUGAUUGCUCUGAUUUUCAGGCAACGGAAGCUGUUCAAGGUCUAGUCAUCGAUUCUAUCAGGUGUAAAUUCAUACACCUAUCUGUGUAUAUGUAGUUGAUUACUCUGUAUAUUGUAAAGCUCAUUCCUCUUUUUCCUUGGUGGUUAUCAGGAAACAGAACACUUGGACUUUGAGUGCUGAUGCCUUUUUGACGAUGAACAGGCUAAGACUGCUCCGAGUCUUCAAUGUUCCGAAUUCUCGUGGUUUCAAAUAUCUUAGUAACUAGUUAAGGCUUUUAUAAUGGCAUGGAUAUCCUUUCAAAUCCUUCCCUUCAAGCUUCCAACCGGAGAACCUUGUUGCACUUCUUCUGCCUUAUAGCCGCAUUGAAAAGUUCUGGAAGCCAAACAUGGUAAGAGUUACUUUGUUACAUUGAAAAGUUGUUGCAAGCUGAGUUUCUAUUUCUUAAAAGUUUUUAUUUUUAUAAUUGUUACGCUCUUAUGAUCACUAACCCGAAGACCAAAUAAGGUUCGGGUCUCCUACUUGAGACCUAAAUAGGGCUCACUAGAUGGAUACGGGCAAGCCUUAUAGUAUGAAGCUCACAAGAGGUGUUCACAAGAGGAGCUCAUGGAUCCUGCUCACUCAUGAUAGGGGGUGUUCGCAAGGGGAGCUCGCGAUCUCAACUCGCAGAUGCCCAAGGAGUGUCCAGCAGGCAACCCAAAACAAUACACGUUUCCAGCAUGCAUAGAGUUUGCUAGGAACGUCAAUUCUAUGAACAUAAGCUAUGCAUAUAAAUAUUCUAUUGUCCCCUCUAAUGAGACAUAAUGAAAAUUUACUUAACAAUUGGUGCGGUGAGCGUGGACAAAUUUCCAACCGAUAGAUUUCUUUCAAGUUUGAGAGAAAUUACCAGAAGUGAAGAUGGUUCACCCAAAUAAGAAUUUACCUUUCAAUCUUUCGUCGAGACAGGUUGUAGCCUCGAGUUCUAGUAGUUAACCUAAUGAAGCAGAUUUGUUUGCCGAUCAACCGGAGAACUUUGACAAUGCGGCCUAUCAGGGAGUUUCCGGUCCAUUGGGCUUGAACAUAUCCACUGGUUGCGGGUUGCCACUCCCUCCCAACUAAUAAGCAUUGUCACAAUAGUUCCUUGCUCUCCAGGAGUAGAUGAAGUUAAUGAAAGAUCAAAUGGUUGCGCAAGAGGAAUGGUUCGAGCAACAAUAGACUUUUCAGCAAGAGUUAUUGAAAUAGAAUAAAGAGUUAAGAAGGAAGGUAAGCUCUGACACUUCUAAUUUUUAUGACAAUGUGAGUGCACAGGACAAAGCUUCAAGUAUGCAUGCAAGAGAAUAGCGAAACGAGAUGGAUGAAUUGCAACGGGACGUGAGAACGUUAUAACAAUCCAUUGGCCCCUGAGAUAGCAACAGUGAACUUGUCGCGUGAUUUUAAAGUCCCAAAGGACAUGUUUGAAAGGAGAAAAGACCUGUGAGCCCAUUUAAGGCAAUACAAUUAUUAUAGCUGAGAGCAUUGGAUUCGGAAAAGUGCAAAGCUUUUUUCACGACACUGAAAGGGAGUGCGAAAGAUUGGUACUUUUCCUUUUCUCAAGACUCAGUUCAAAGUUUUUCUCAAUUAGGCCAGAUGUUCUUGGGAAGAUUCAGGCUCCACAAGGCAACCAUGAGCACGCCUACGGGGUUAAUGUCAAUGAAACAAAGGGAAUGAGAGUCUCUCCAAAAUUAUGUGAAGCGAUUUCAUGCGACGAAUUUAAACACGAAGAAUUUGAAGGAUCAGUAGGCUAUCGAUACUUUUAUCAUGGGGGCAGAAAAUGAUCAUGUACAAUACUCUUUUGCCAAUAACAGGCCACGGAGUUUGGCAGAUCUUUACGAGCGAGCCUACAAGUUCAUAGAGGCAGAGGAGAUUAAAAGGGUAUCGCAUAGCACUGUUCAGAUGGAAGACAAUUAGUUUAGAAACUGAGAGGCAACUCGCAGUAAACAAGGCCCUCCUAGCCAGACAUUACGAGCAAGAGGUGAUAGCUAGCAAAGAAAUCAGAUGCAAGGUGAUUCUCUUAGGGCUCUCUAGAGGUUUCAACUAGAGCAUACUAGGAAGUACAUUCCCUAAGGUGUGUUUGAAGUUUACACUCAUUUUAAUGCUACCCAUUCUUACAUUCUGAACCAGGUAAAAUGUCUUGGUAUCCUGCCCUAGCCAUCUCCAAUGAGGUAUAGUACAAUGAGGUCCAACUCGAGAGACAGAUGUGCCUUCUACAAUGAUGUUGGACACUAAAAUAAGGAUUGUUUCACCCUAAAGGAUGCAAUUGAAGAAGUAGUGAAAAACGGCGAGCUUGCCAAGUUUGUUGAUCAAGGUGUUUCCCAGUAAGGUCAAACUUCAUAUGGUGAUCCCAAGGGUAAACAGAAGGUUAAAGGUACCAUCCAUGUAAUUAUAGGAAUAGAUAAAAAGUGGGUAGGUUUUAGUGCAAAAAAGAAUGCGCAGAUGAGAAGUGUGAUGUCUAUUAGCACCCCUAAAAGGUCAUAUUAGCAGGGAGAAUAGAGCGUUGAAUUUGGUAAUGAUGAUGAGGAGUUGGUAUUUGACGAAGAGGGUAAUGAUCUUAUGGUUUUGUCUACAACAAUAGUAGGUUUUAAGUUUAAAAGGAUACUUGUAGACAGUGGUAGUGUAGUAAAAGUGUUAUCUUGGGAAGCAUAUCAGAAGAUGGGGCUAAAGGAGCAAGCAUUGUCCAAAGCUAGCCCACUAUAUGGUUUUGCAAACCAUCCUAUUGAGGUAAAAGGCUCGACCACUUUACCUGUCACCUUGGGGAUGACAAGCACACAACUACGGAGCAUGUCUAGUUCUUUGUUCUAGACCAUCCCAUGGAGUACAAUGCUAUUUUUGGGCGACCAAUAAUUAAACUCUUUAAUUAACUCCAGGACUAGCCUUCAUACUCGAUCAACUUAGGAUCCCCUGUCUCCCAUUCACCUUUGAGUUGAUAGAUUACUAAUGUAAAAUCCCCAUAUACCUCUAGUAUUUUGAUAUUGAGUUCUAUAGCUACACGGAUACCGAUGAUGGAUGCCUUGUAUUCUGCCAUAUUGUUCGUGCAAUUAAAAUCCAAUUUACUAGUAAAGGGAUAGUGAUCUUUGUUUGGGGAUACUAAGACAGCCCCAAUUCCGUUACCCAUAGUGUUGGAGGCCCCAUCAAAGUUUAGUUUCCAGGGAUGUUCUUUUUGAGCACCUUCUUUAGUAGUUGCAACAUACAUCAGAUUUUUAUUUGAGAAAUCGAAAUUCAAAGGCUCAUAAUCUUUUAGAGCUCUACUGGCUUUCUAGUUGCAACAUACAUAAUUUUUAUUUGAGAAAAUCUGCUAUUGGACUCCCUUUUAUUGCUUUCUGGUUCACAUAGGCUAUAUCAAAUUUGGAAAAUAGAAUUUGCCAUCGAGUCAUUCUUCCAUUCAGAGCAAUCGACUCCAUCACAUACUUUAGAGGGUCCAUCAUUUAGAUUACCCAUGUUGUAUGGUACAACAUGUAUUGUCUUAGUCUCAGGGUUGUCCAGAUUAAGGCGCAAUACAACUUCUCAAUUGGCAAAUAUCUUGUUUCUCAUUCAUUAAACUUCUUACUGAGGUACUAUAUCGCUCUUUUCUCCCUGACUCAUCAUGUUGGCCAAGUACGCAUCCCAUGGAAUUUCCAAUAUUGCCAAGUACAAUAUUAGUGGCUUUUUUGGGUAAUGUGGCAUCAGCACUGGGGAUUUAGACAAGCAAUGUUUGACCUUGUCGAAAGUCUUCUGGAACUCCUCAUCCCAUAUGCCUGGAUUGUGUUUCAUAAGGAGAUGGAAUAUGGGGUUGCAUUUCUCAAUUAGUUGUGAAAUGAACCAGACGAUAUAAUUUAGUCUUCCUAGGAAACCUUGAACUUCUUUUUGAAUGCGUGGCAGAGGCAACUCAUAUAUAGCUUUAACUUUAGAUGGGUCGAUCUUGAUCCCUUUUUCACUAACUACAAACCCUAGCAAUUGUCCUGCCCUAGCCCUGAAGGUACAUUUUGCUGGAUUGAGAUUUAGCUGGAAUUUUCUCAACCUCAAAAAUAAUUUCCUCAAGACUUGCAUAUGCUCUUUUUUUGUUCUGGAUUUUGAGAUCAUAUCAUCGACAUAAAUCUCAAUUUCUUUAUGCAUCAUAUCAUGAAACAAGGUUACCAUGGCUCUUUGAUACGUCACUCUCACAUUUUCAGUCCGAAUGGUAUCACUUUAUAGCAGAAUGUUCCCCAUAUAGUUACGAAUGUCGUCUUUUUCAUGUCUUCUUAAGGAUGCAUCUUUAUCUAGUUGUAACUGGAAAAGCCAUCCAUGAAGAAGAACAGUGAGUAACCUGCCGUGUUGUCCACUAAGGUGUCAAUGUGAGGCAAUAAGAAAUUAUCUUUUGGGUUGGCCUUGUUUAAAUCCCUAUAGUCUACACACAUUCAUACUUUCCCAUCUUUCUUAGGAACGGGGACAAUAUUAGCUACCUAUUAUGAGUAUUUAACCACUUGUAGGAAACCAGCGUCGAAUUACUUCUUAACCUCUUCUUUUAUUUUCAGCAAGACGUCAGGCCUCAUCCUUCUGAGCUUCUGUUAAACUGGCUUGCACUCUUCCUUUAUGGGGAGUCGGUGUACCACGAUAUUAGUGUUUAGCCCAGGCAUAUCUUGAUAUGACCAUGCGAAUACAUCUUUGAAUUCUUGGAGCAACUCAAUGGGGUUUUACUUUGUCUUUGCGGUGAUACAAGCUCCGAUCUUCAUCUCUUUCUCUUCUCCUAAGCUCACAAUUUCUACUGAUUCUUUGUGAGGUAGGAUUUGUUUCUCAUCUUGUUCUACCAUCCUUAACAAAUUAGGAGAUAGGUUACAAUUUCGAUCAUCUUCAAAGUCCUGAAGUUCCUCUAAACACAUAUCUUACUCAAAAGGAGAUUCUGAGUUAGUAAUGAUGUCGCUCAUAUCAUUGAUAUCUGGAGACCUGUUAUAUGAACGAAGAAAGACCCAAAAAACAAAUGAAUCUAAGAAUAAUCAUUUGUGUGGUAUGAGUAUGAAUGAAAUGGAAGAAAUAAAAGAAUAUUUGCCAAAAUGAAACACAAAUAUGCAUUUUAUUAAAAUCAAGCUAUUGGACAUAUGCCUAUUUCACAAAAGGAUUCUUAUUGCUCACGGGCUUAGAGCAAUAAGUGUGCUUUGAACAUUACUCUGAAUUAGUUCUAAAAAUUGCAAGGAUCUUUUUCAAUCUAAUUGUUCAAAACACUUUCGAGGAUAUAAGGACAAAUGUCUGACAGGUUUUCUUCCCUAAUUCUUUAUUUGGAUUUGGUGUUCAUGCUUAGAUUUCCCAACAUUCCUUCCAGUCCUUUGACCUCUUCAAAGAAUUCCAACUCUUUGUUAUCCAUUAGACUUUGUACCAAAGCUUUGAAUUUAUCACACUCUUGGAUUCCAUGACCUUCUUUAGCGGGGAACUCGCAGUAGCUCCUCACUUCUUUAGGUUUCUCCUCUGAAUCUUGCAUGAUUAUCCUCCGUCUAUCAUCUUUUUCCAAACUCAUUUUAGUGAGAUUUUUACUUCCACCACAUCAAUUUUGGUUCUCUUUCCUCCACUUUCAAUUAUCGCGUUUACCCCUUGAUCUGAAUGACUGGGUAACAGAUUUCCUACCACAUUAGGUCCUGAUGGAUCAUCGAACCUAACGAUCCCUAUCUUGAUGAACCUCUUAAUCAACUUUUUAAAUGCAGUACAGUUCUUAAUUAAGUGUCCCGUUAUUCCUACUUGGUACUCGCGUUAAACAUUCACAUCGUACCAUUUUGGGAAUGUAAGUUGCAUGGGUUUUAAGUAAAACAGGGAUACCACAUGCGCAUUGAACAUAUUCUGACAUAACUCCCUAUAUGUCAUCGGGAUAGGUGUGAACUGGAGUUUUUUUGUGUUUGGUAUUGAGUUAGAUUAUUGCCUUGAGGGGCCUUGAUGGCUAGUUUUUACGGUCUUUGGUUGGACUACAGUGACCGUCUUGAAUAACCUUUAUUAUACACGCUCACGUUACUCACUUUAUUUUCCUUAUUCCUCGGGGUUGAUCUUUGGCGUUUUUCCCCGCGUCUAUUUUCUCGCUCCUUACUACAUUUUCAAUCAUCUCACUAGACAUUACUAUAUCUGAGAUACUCUUGGUAGUGCUUCCCAACAUAUGGUUAAUGAACAGAGCUUUCAAAGUAUUUAUGAAAAGUAUUAUUGUCUCUUUCUCCAGAAGAGGCAGUUGGACUAGCGUUGCCACCUCUCUCCAUCUUUGAGCAUACUACCUGAAGCUUUCACUCUGCUUCUUUUUCAUGUUUUCCAAUGUAAUCCUGUUAGGCAUCAUGUCAGUCACAUGACUGUAUUGUUUCAUUAAAGUCUGUGCCAAAUUUUUUCAUGAGCUUAUUUUGGCACUAUUUAGCUGGUUGUACCACUUGGCAACCGACCCAACCAAACUCUCUUAGAAGCAGUAAAUUAAAAAUUGGUCAUUAUUGACGUAUCCCGUGAUUCUUCGGUAGAACAUUAUGAUGUGGGCUUCAAGACAACUAAUCUCAUUAUAUUUUUUGAAUUCUUGAGUCUUGAAUUUUAGUGGGAGUACUAGAUCCGGGACUAAACAUAAAUCCUUAGCAUCAACCUCGCAAAGGUAGUCAGCAUUCUCCAUAGCACUAAAUUUCUCCUCCAACCACUUACAUUGAUCUUCUAGUUGUUUUGGCAAUUCUACUCUUGCUCUAUCCAUUUCAGCCAUGUCAUCCAAAUCGAAAAAACUGGGUUGGUCGGAUUAUCCUCGGGAUUGGAAUCUGAACCUGUUAGGUAGUUCACCGGUGCUGAGGUACCGACUUAAUAUUGUUAAGGUAUUAUGGUAACGGGUACACUUCGUGGAUAUGUUUCUGGUUGGGUUUGGACAUUUACUGGGGUAAAGCCUAGGGGAUAUGUAGGGGAAAAGAAAGAAACAGCCAAACAAAAUCAAAUGAAAAUCGAGAAAAUAAAGUUGAAUGUGUCAAAUCUCAGCAAAGUUUUGAAGUUGUAAAUCUCAAAGAGCUUGGAGACUACUGAAGAUUGUACACUUUGACAUAGUAGGUCAUUUUGAUAUACCAUCAGUUGGAGGAAACAUGUAUUUUCUUACCUUUAUUGAUGAUUUUAGUAGAAAAAGUUUGAUAUAUUUUCUCAAAAUAAAAUUAGAAAUACUUAAUAAAUUCAUGGAGUUCAAAACUAUGGUGGAAAAACAAAGUGGACAUUAUAUUAAGAUAUUCAAAACUAAUAACGAGGGCAAGUAUUUAUCAAAACUGUUUAAAAGCUUUUAUAAAGAGCACAUAAUUAUUCACCAAUUGAUAGUUACAUAUACACCACAACAAAAUGGAAUUGCUGAAAGAAAGAAACGUACUAUUCUUGAUAUGGAAAGAAGCAUGGUAAAAGGUAAACAUCUACCUAUAACUUUUUGGGCUAAAGUUGUUCAAUUUGCAGUUUACCUAUUAAUCGAUGCCUAGUAGAAAGUGUGAAAUAUAAUACGCUGAAUAAAGUUUGGAGCGAUCAAAAGCCAUGAGUUGGACAUCUCAAGUUUUUUGGAUGCAUCACAUAUGCUCACAUUCCUAAUUAGACGAGAGUGAAGCUCAAUAAAAAAGGCAUGAAAUGCAUCUUUGUUGGAUAUGAAAAAAGAAGCAAAGCAUAUAAACUACACAACCCUCUCACCAAGAAAGUUAUUAUUUCAAUAAAUUUUGAGUCCAAUGAAACAAAUUACUAAAGAUGGAGCGACAAAGAAAAGUAAAUUGAAGGACUAUUUUUUAGUGAUGAUAAAGAUGAUGACUUCAUCAAUCAAGAUAAAGAAGGUGAUGAUCAAAGCCAUCCACCAAGUCAUAUUGCAACAACUCCUACAACAUCGUCAUCACCAAGUAGUAGUAGUUCAAAGGAAGUGUCUACAAGAAUGUGCAGUCUACACAACAUUUAUAAUGUUGCAGAACCCAUAUAGACAACUCUUGAUUAUUCCUUAUUUUGUUUAAUUACAAAAUGUGAUCCUAUAACAUAUGAAGAAGCAAUUGAAGAUAUCAAAUGAAAUAAGGAAAUGGAUGAAGAAAUUACAACAAUAAGAAGACAUGAUACGUGAGAGUUAACAGGUUUGCUAAAAGGAUACAACCCAGUUGAAGUUAAAUGGGUGUACAAGACAAAGACCAACAAAUAGGGGAAAAUGGAGAGUACAAAGAAAUUCUAGUUGUCAAAGGCUACAAGUAAAGACAUUGAUACGAACUCGCCUCGGUGAUGAGUCAAGUUCAUUGAGCUAGAAUCGAGCUGAUUUAAGCUCAACGAGCUAAAUUUGAGUUAGGUCAGCUUGCGAAAAAUGGCAAGCCUCGCUUGUUGAGCUGAACCAAGGGCGUUCCUGACUGUGAUCGUAUUAGACAUGGAGUGGAUUAUGAUGAAGUGUUUGCUCUAGUAGCCAAAAUCAACACUAUAAGUCUUUUCACAACAAUUACAACACAAAACAAUGGAAGUUUUAUCAAAUGGACGUGAAGUUAUCAUUCCUUAAUAACUACUUAAAAUAAGAAGUUUACAUUGAACAACCACCUAGAUGUAGAAAACAAAGACAAUAAGACAAAUAAAUCGCUUAAAGAAAGCUUUAUAUGGUUUAAAUCAAGCCCCAAGAGCAUAGAACACAAGAAUAGAUGAGUACUUUCAGAAGAAUGAGUUCAUGAAAAGUCUAUAUGAGCAUGCCUUAUAUACGAAGAAAAAUGGAGAUGGUGACAUCAUGAUCGCAUGUUUAUACAUAAAUGAUAUGAUUUUCACAAGAAACAAACCAGGUAUGUUCAAUGACUUUAAGAAAGCUAUGACUAAAGAAUUUGAAAUGACAGAUAUUGAUGAGAUGUCAUGUUUUCUCGGAUGCAAAGUGAAGCAAAUGGAAGAUGAAAAAUUUGUGUAUCAAAAGCAGUAUGUGGAACAAAUCUUAAUCAAAUUCUAAAUGAAAGAUUGCAAGCUAGUAGCCACGCCAGUGGAACCUAGUAUGAAGUUAAGUGUUAAUUCAACUAGAGCCAGUAAAUUCAACAUUAUUUAAAAGCAUCAUUGGAAGUUUAAAGUAUCUGACUAUCGUGCAGAAAAACAUAAUGUAUGCAAGGGGAUUAGUUAGUUGAUUCAUGAAGAAGUCAGAACAAGACCUUCUAAUUGUAGUAAAAAGAAUUUUGAGAUAUGUUAAAAGUACAAUGAAUCAUUGUUUUUACACACAAAGUUCAAAAUUGGUUGGUUAGUCAUAAAAUGAUUAUGGUGGUGACUUGGACUAUCACAAAAGCAUGUCUGGAUAUUUAUUCUAUAGUGGCUCUACAAAAUUUCCAGGGUCAUCAAAAAAGCAUCAAAUAGUAGCCCUCUCAGCAUGUGAAGUAGAAUACACCGCUAUAGUAUGCCCUUAUCAAGCAAUUUGGUUGAAGAAUAUUUUGAGCGAACUAACUCUUAAACAGGAAGGUUCCAUUACAAUUUAUGUUGACAACAAGUCUACAAUAUCUCUUGCAAAGAAUCUUGUGUCCCAUAGCCAAAGCAAGCUCAUUGAUACAAAGUAUCACUUUAUUUGAGAGUUGGUGAAGAAUAAAAACAUCAAGCUAAUCUACUACAGAAUGAAAGACCAAUUGGUAAACAUUUUACGAAGCAAUUGAAAGAGGGCGUAUUUAACAAACUUAAAAGAAAAACUUGGAAUAAAGAUCUCGGUUUAAGGAGAAAUGUUAGAAGUCAAAGCGACUUCUCAAAGUCGGAAAAGCAUGAAGCUAAGAGUGGCUUUACAAAUUGGUUUAAAACGUGGCAUGAAAUUAGUGGCAAAACAGCAACAUGAAAGCUUGCUGAAAGUUUCUUAAAGAUUGAAAUUGUGUAAUGAUAAGGAUAAACAAAGCAUUAACAGUGGAGCUUAUUGGAUAACCAUGGAUUUGCUCGAAGCUUUACAAGCUUAUUACAACAGCCUUUAAGUCUAUUUAUGUUAUGUUAUAAAUAGCCCUUAUGUUAGUGUGUGUGCAUCACAAGUGAAAGAAAUAGAAAAAAAAAAGGAAUAUUGUGUGUGCAGUAGAAAGUGGCGUGAGUUAGAGUAAAAAGAAACUAGCGGCAACUAGUAAGUGAGAAAUAUAUAUAUAUUUGUAAUUUGCUAUUGUUUGAUAGAUAUUGUGUGAGUAAUAAAGUUGUUUCGAUUGUAAGGGUUAACUACGCUUCCAACAUUUAUCAACUCUGGCCGUAUACAUGGCACACCGUACUCAGCAUGGUUACUAGUCACUCUCGAUCAACAUUACUUAACAAUCCGCAGCUGUUAAGAGGAAUUACCUAUAUUUAGUAUCUUUCCACCUUCAACAUAAUAUAUUUCAAGGCUCUUUGAAUCAUAACCUAGAGACCUUUUUCGAAAAAGAAACUUCGAGAAUUUUCUGUACCUAAUAGAAUUUAAUAACACGUUAUCUACAUCCUCCUGAUCAACCUCAUUAACAAACCCAUUCACACAACUGAAUUCUAGGGUUCCUGUAAAUUUCCCCCAUGGCAGUACCUUUAUUUAAAUUAUCCAAAUCCAGGUAAGCUUUUUUCUUUUGGUUUCCAUCCCCAUUGUGGCUUGUCUCCUUCCUCCAUUUCUAAGUUCUAACCAUCAUCAACGUUGUUCCAAACUUUUUCAAACACUUAUCAAUUUUUUAUAUAAAAAAUUAUUUUUUUUCUUUCUUGGCUAUUUUUUUCCCAAUCAAAUAUUUUUUUAAUAAAAUGAAAAAGAGUCAUGACAAUGAUGUCAUGUUGAAAGCAAACCCCAAAAGUUUUCUGGGUUACCUUAUCUUGAAGGGGCUCUAAAAGAUAAAGGUUUUUAACUGUUUUUUUUUUUAAAGUUAUUCAAGAGUUUCAAUUUCUUUUGUAAAAUAAAAUUUUAUUUCUUGAAUUUUAUUUUAUUUCAGGGUUUUUAUUUUAUCUUCACCGAAUUCAUUUAUGAAUGUGAAGUUGGAUUAUUUAAUUUUUGGAUGUAAAGUUAGAUUUCUAAGUUGGUAUUAUCAAUAAAAAGAUAUUUUUAUGGAAGGAAGUAAGGAUAAUGUUAAGGAGAAAUUUCUUCAUGAAAAUUUUCUUCCUUUCAUUUUUCUAAGUAGAUUGAGAUAGAGUGGGAUGGAUUUGAGUGAAAAAGAAAGGUUGAUGUGUAAGGCAUAAUAAUAUAUAUAUAUAUAUAUAAAUAUUUUUUAUAUAUAAUUUCUUCCCCUAUACAUUAUAGAUGCUACAUAAUCUAUUGCUAAUAACAUUAUAUUACAACAUUAUAGCAUUCACCAAAAACUUAACUAAAGAUAUGAAGAUAUUUUUUCUCCAAGCUGUUUGCUUUUUAUUUUUUGUUUUGUUCAACGGUGGUGUCAACCUUCGGGCUGGCUAUUGCCUAUCUAUUUCUUCUCCCAUUAACCUUUUCUUUCUUCCUUCUUCUCAUCCACUAUACAUGUCUUCUCUCUUUUCAGUUUAUAGAUAUAUUUUGUGGGUAUCUUUAUUGUCUUCACAAGUUGUGAUGGACAGAUGACGGUGACUGUCGUUCAUUAAAACCCCACUAACCACUAGUAAUUUUUAUUAGAAUGUGGGUGGUUCUUCGUCAACUUCUUAAUAUGUUUCUGUUUUGAGAGUUUUUUAAAUUAAUAAAUGACUUCACGUGUCAAUUUGGAUCCGUAUUAUCUUAAGUUUUAUAUUUUUUUGUUCGUUUUUUUAUUGUUUAAUACAUAUUCAGUUUUAGAAGUUUUUGUCUGCUCUUGUAGCACAUUUUUUUAGUCUUGCUUAUGCAUGUAAUCUUAGUUUUACAAGUGAUUUUAAGGAUGAUUUUGUUGUCGUCCUCUCUAGUUUGAUGAAUGCUCGAUCCUUUUGUCGAUUUUUGCUCGAUGUUUUGGACCAUUCGACGCUGAUUUUCUUAUCGUAUUAAGUGCUUGCAAUCAUUCUAGAUAUAUUGUGCUUGAGUUGUGACAAAGUCAAUUGUCAACGUGUCAUAAUAUUCAAUUGAUGCUAAGGCUAAAGCUUUCGUUGUGUUGAUGGAGCUUGUCAUUCACCAUCUACGACGAGUGUUUGCUAUUUUUUCUCUGAAUUGCAUGGUUCCAUUUAUUGAAUAAAUUAAUAAAUUUACCUUUAAAAAGAAAAAGUAAAGAUACGAUGAAAAAGGAACCAUGUGUACCAGGGAAAGUUAAAGCAGUACAUAUAAUUAAGGAACCACAUAAGUUAAUACUAGUCAAUUGUCAAAGACUAGAACAACUUUUUAUGAUUAAAAUAUUUAUUUAGUAAUUGAUUGAUAUAUCGUUUUAUUUAGAGAAUAUAUAGUUUAUUUUUUAAAACAAUAUAAUUUUAAUAUCUUUUUAAAUUACAAAAAAAAGCUCAAACUAAUAAUGAGAAUAAUGGUAAUUAAGUUUAAUUAUUACUAAUAAUGUGAAAUAGUAUGGUAAGAAGCACUUAAUCAAUAUAUUCAAAAUGUGUUGGAUUUGUGGGAUUCUUAUAAUUGAGUGAGAAAAGAAAAAGAAAGAAACAGAAUCAAAUGAAAAUAGAGAAAAUAAAGUUGAAUGUGUCAAAAACAAGUAGAAUGCUUUUUCUUUUCAACGUUAAUUUCAUGUGAAUUACUAUUCCUUCAACUUGGUUUGUCUUUUGCAAUCAUUACAAUAUUGAUAAUCAAGUUUAUUGUAGAUUAAUCAUUAAUCUCUAGUAGAAGAGCCUAGUUACUACUACUCACUCUCCAUCAACUUUCCUCCAAAUAUAGCACUUCUUAAUGUUUGUUUUGAGAAACUACCUCUCUUCUUUUGUUCUCAGUUUGUUUAGAGGUGUGUUAAUUGGCCAGCCUUUCUGCGACAAAAAAGAAUCUUGAAAAUCUCCAAGUACCAAGUAAAUCCCAUCGAUUUCUUCAACUUAGCUACUAAGUUCCAAUGGUUAGAUUCGAUAAUGAGACAUCCUCCUCUUCCUCCUCCUCAUCAUCAUCAUUGGAAUCAUCUUCUUCAGUUUCUCGAGGGAAAUAUGAUGUUUUCUUGAGUUUCAGAGGUGAGGAUACCCGCAGAAAUUUCACGGAUCAUCUUUAUGCUGCAUUCAAAAGGAGAGGAAUCACCACUUUUAGGGAUGACGAAAAGCUCGAGACAGGUGAACCCAUAGCACCUGAGCUCUUCAAAGCAAUUCAUGAGUCAUGGUGCUCCGUAAUCGUUUUGUCGGAAGGGUAUUGUUUCUCGAGUUGGUGCCUACAAGAGCUUUCCGAGAUUAUUCAACAGAAAAACGACAAGGGACAUAAAGUCUUCCCUAUUUUCUAUUAUGUGGAGCCAUCUGAUUUGAGAAAACAAACCGGAAAAGUUCUAGAAGCUUUUCUUAAGCAUGAAAAUAAUUUCCAGGACAACAAAGAGAAGACACUAAGGUGGCGAUCUGCUUUAACUCAAGUAGCUAACAUCAAAGGAUGGCACUUGAGUAACAGGUAACUAUCAUAUUCUUUCACUUCAAUAAUAUCUUACCAGCAUCAAGUUUGAAAUUUGAGGCAUUAGCUAAGGAUUGUGCCCUUAAAGUUUCACUAAGCUAUUUCCUUUGCUUUGUAUUUGAAGGCAUGAAUCAGAACUUAUUGGAGAAAUCAUUGAAAAGGUAUCAACAAAAUUAUGUCAAACGUUUGCAAGUGCUCCUACUGACAUGAUUGAAAUUGAAUCACGUUUGGAAGAGUUAAAUUGCAAAAUAGGCAUAGGGGAGGAAGAUGAUAGUGUUCGGAUUAUAGGGAUUUGUGGUAUGGGCGGGUUAGGUAAAACAACUCUUGCAAGAUUUGUUUAUACCCAAAUUUCAAGUCAUUUUGAAGGCCAAAGCUUUCUGGCCGAUGUUCGUGAAGUUGCGGAGAAACAUGGACUUGUUUAUUUGCAGAAACAACUUCUUUACCAAAUAUUUCCAGAGGAAAGUUUCAAGUUUUUUAAUGUUCAUGAUGGGAAUGACAUCAUAAGUCGUAUGUUAUCUCAUAAAAAGAUUUUUGUUGUUAUUGAUGAUGUGGGUAACAUACAACACUUAAAAUGUUUGAUAGGCAGGCGAGCUUGGUUUGGUUUAGGAAGCAGGAUCAUCAUAACAACAAGAGACGAGCAUCUGCUGCAAAUCUACGGAGUGGAUGAUGUGUAUAAUCCGACGAAAUUGAAUGCCAAGNNNNNNNNNNNNNNNNNNNNNNNNNNNNNNNNNNNNNNNNNNNNNNNNNNNNNNNNNNNNNNNNNNNNNNNNNNNNNNNNNNNNNNNNNNNNNNNNNNNNNNNNNNNNNNUCUUGAAGUUUUUGGUUCUUUUCUGUCUGGCAGAUCAGAUGAAGCUCAAUGGAGAAGUGCUAUUGAAAGACUUAAAAAGGAGUCCAACAAAGAAAUUCUAGACAGGCUUCAAAUAAGCUUUGAUGGGUUAGAAAAAUCGGAGAAAGAUAUAUUUUUGGAUAUUGCAUGCUUCUUCAAAGGAGAAGACAAAGAUAUGGUAACCAAAAUUCUCGAUGGUUGUGGCUUUUUCCCGGAUAUUGGAAUAGAUGUUCUCAUCAAGAAAUCUCUUGUAACAAUUGAUGAAGACAACAAAUUGUCGAUGCAUGACUUGUUACAAGAGAUGGGAAGGAAAAUUGUUUACCAAGAAUCUCCUAAUGAACCUGGAAAACGUAGUAGAUUGUGGGACGAAAAGGAUACUAAUUAUGUGCUAAUAGGAAACACUGUAAGUCUUUAGCACUAUUAACUGUUACUCCACCCUUGAAUAUUUGUUGAUUCAUACGAUACUAGGAUGCAAGUCUAGCUUUGAACUAUUUUUGGACGUGCAUUGCACUGUUAAGUCAUUAAAUUUACCGUAUUAAUUAGUUGAUUGCUCUGAUUUUCAGGCAACGGAAGCUGUUCAAGGUCUAGUCAUCGAUUCUGUCAGGUGUAAAUUCAUACACCUAUCUGUGUAUAUGUAGUUGAUUACUCUGUAUAUUGUAAAGCUCAUUCCUCUUUUUCCUUGGUGGUUAUCAGGAAACAGAACACUUGGACUUUGAGUGCUGAUGCCUUUUUGACGAUGAACAGGCUAAGACUGCUCAGAGUCUUCAAUGUUCCGAGUUCUCGUGGUUUCAAAUAUCUUAGUAACGAGUUAAGGCUUUUAGAAUGGCAUGGAUAUCCUUUCAAAUCCUUCCCUUCAAGCUUCCAACCAGAGAACCUUGUUGCACUUCUUCUGCCAUAUAGCCGCAUUGAAAAGUUGUGGAAGCCAAACAUGGUAAGAGUUACUUUGUUUGAUCAAUUAAUUUUGACCAAGAUAACAUAAACACAAAAUACCCAAAAUAAAAUGGCAUUUAAUCUUUGGUUUUCUGUUUCAUUUUUUUCUUUUACAGCCUUUAGAUAAGUUAAAAUUGGUCGUGUCGAUGCUACGCUGAUCUAUGUGAAAACACCAGNNNNNNNNNNNNNNNNNNNNNNNNNNNNNNNNNNNNNNNNNNNNNNNNNNNNNNNNNNNNNNNNNNNNNNNNNNNNNNNNNNNNNNNNNNNNNNNNNNNNCUGGAAGGUACUGGAAUAGUAGAUAUUGAUCCUACCGUAAAGUUUCUAAGGAGGCUGAAGCUUUUGAAUUUAAGAAACUGCAAGAGACUUAGGAUUUUCCCAUCCAAAAUUGGGAAUGGAUCUCUACAAACAUUAAUUCUUUCAGGUUGCUCAAAUAUAGACAGGAUUCCAGAGAUUGUGGGGGAAAUGGAAUGUCUGAAAGAGCUUUGUUUGGAUGGGACUGGUAUUAAAGAACUUCCCUCUUCAAUUGGACAUCUCAGGAGUCUUAUGUUGCUAAAUUUGAAAGAUUGCAGUAAGCUUGAGAGUCUCCCAAGCAGCAUAGGUGGGUGUGAAUUCCUUAAAACUCUUCUUCUCUCUGGCUGCUCUAAACUUAAAAAUUUUCCAGAGAGUUUGCGACAACUAGAAUCUUUGGAGGAGCUUAACCUGAGUGAGACUGCCAUAAUGACACCACCAUCCUUCAUCUUUCAUUUGAAAAAUCUCAAGUUUCUUUCUUUCCAAGGAUGCAAGGGACCACCGUAUAGAGUACGAUCACAUUGGCGUUUUAUUUCUAGGCCCACACCAAGACUUAGUACGAACUCUAUGACCUUGAACCUACCUGUUAUUUUGUCUGGUUUGAGUUCUUUGAAGGAGUUGAAUUUAGAUGACUGCAACCUUAAUGAUGGGGCUAUUCCUAAUGAUAUUUGCAGCUUGUCCUCGUUGGAAAUUCUACGGCUUAGUGAUAACAAUUUCAUCACCCUACCUGCAACUCUUAGUCGACUUUCCAAGCUUACUAGUCUAGUACUGACUGACUGUAAAAGGCUUAAAUCAUUGCCCGAGCUACCAGCAAGCAUAAAAUUAUGGUUAGAUGGUUGUGGUUCACUGGAAGCAGUUGCAAAUUCGACUACAGCUUUCAAUUCACGGGUUGAUGGAUAUAUUUGUGCUUUUAACUGCUUCAAAUUGGCAGAGGGUAACGAUGCAGUAACAAUGCUGAAGACACGGCUGAAGGUUAGUACCUUUAUUUUUUUCUAUUAUUGCUCCCAUUGAUUUAUGGUGCUAGUUUAAGAAAAUGUGUCUUUGUUUGCAGCUAGUAGCAAAUGCAAGAACAGAAAGUUGUUACAUUGUCAUACCGGGAACUGAAAUCCCAAAAUGGUUUAGCAGUCAAACGGAUGACUCUUCAAAAUCUAUAAUAAAGAUGCAAUUGCCUCCCAAUUUUCUGAAUGAUACACAGUUCUUAGGAUUCGCUUUCAGCUGUAUUUUCUUCUCUGACUUCAAUAAUAAACCUCGAAGGGGGGAGCAUAUUUCGUAUACAUUUGUUAUCCAUGGUAGAAAUUUCUCCGGAGAAUUUAAAACAGUCUAUUUUCAUUUAGAAGGUAAAUCUACGAGAGUGACCAAAGACCACCUUUUGAUACAUUAUUUGCCUCGUAAUGGCAUUGAUUUGUUGUCCCUGGAGGAAUUAGAAUGCGAAGAAACUGAGGUUUCUGGAUCCAGCACAGAUAUGUUGAAGGAAAGAUUUGAAAUUGAGGUUGCAUUCGAAAUCUGGGGCAUCAAUUCCAUGGUGAAGAAAUGCGGGGCUCAAAUAGUGUAUGAGGAAGAUUUGGAAGAGAUGGACCAAACCAUACAUGAACAUAGCGGGUCAACUUCUUCAAAUUUUGAUGAUAUGCAUUCAAACAGUGGAUCAAACGGGAAUAAUAAUGGCGCUCUUGUCAAGAGAAAAUGGUUAAGCCUUCACUUAUUUACAGUGAUUGAUAUAUGCUGUUGACUCCUGUUUUAUAAGGCUAAUUUACUUCAUAUCUUCGUGCUUUUCCAGGUUGAAUGCGAAAGCAGGCGAUCAGCGGAACAAAACUCUAUUUUGUGGAAUCUGUCAAUCAUAUGUUGUAAACCAUCGACUUCUCUCCUAGCUUUACAUUGUUUUAUCCAUUUUCUUUCAUAUAGAUUUAUCAUUUUCGGACAACUUGUGUUUCAGUUUUGUUAUAGACGGAAAAUACAAUUGGUUAAACUCAUUUAAUUAGCUAAGUCAGUAGAGUUUUCUCUAUCGGCUUUGUUAUCGAAUUUUUCUGAACUUACUGACUAGUCAUUGAAAUAAAGAGAAAGCAGAGUGAGGAAGAAAAAACUAAGUUCGUUUUCUAAACGACUUGUGGUGCCAUACAUAAAAUUCUUGUUAAAUGUUGAUAUAUUAUCUUAAUUGCUCAGUUAAUAUUAAACAAAUUUAUAUAUAGUUUAAUAAUUUUAGUUAGAAUAUAAUUUUUCGAUAUAAACAUUAAUUCUUUUUUCUAUUUAGGUUGCUUAAUAAAUUUUAUUAUUUUUGAAUAAUGAAAUAAGCUUCAAAGUUAAUCAAGACUAUUCUAUAUUGGGUUUAAUUAAUAAUAGAAAUUUUAAAACAUUGGAUAAUAGCAUAGUCAUUCUAUCGUUGGAUAACAUUUUGAAAUGUGCGUUCAAGAAGAAAUUGAAGCGUAAUCAUUUCCUUCUUUUGAGUAACCAUUGUAUUCUAGGGACAACAUUUUCAGACCAGUUGUGCCACAGUAAAGAGACUAAAUUAAGAAAGCUUCUUGGAAGUGCCUUGCCUAUAGCCUUUCUCAUUACUUAUUCUUUUAGCAUUAUUCUACUUGGUUGUAUUAGUCCAUCCCAAAACCACUAUAUACAACAAUUUUAGGAUACAUAUACUUCAUGAAAAAUGAAGAGUCUAAGGUAACAUAUUGAGAAGUGUAUAGAACCACACUUCAAGGUACAAAACAGAAAAUUUGAAAUUAAAGUUUAAUUACGAGCCAACAAAUUUUUACAUUGCAAGCUAGAGAUUUAUAGUUUGAAUCUCAUUGAUAGAUUAAGCCUAACAUGUUCUUGACAGAUUGGUCAAGUUUGCAAGCCGAGUUUCUAUUUCUUAAAAGUUUUUAUUAUAUAAUUGUUACACUCUUAUGAACACCAACCCGAAAACCAGAUAAGGUUCGGGUCUCCUACCCGAGACCUGAAUAGGGCUCACUAGAUGAAUACGGGCAAGCCUUACAGUAUGAAGCUCACAAGGAGUGUUCGCAAGAGGAGCUCGCGGAUCCUGCUCACUCAUGAUAGGGAGUGUUCGCAAGGGGAGCUCGCGAUCUCAACUCGUCGAUGCCCAAGGAGUGUCCACUAGGCAACCCAAAAUAAUACACGUUUUCGGCAUGCAUAGAGUUUGCUAGGAGUCAAUUCUAUGAACAGAAGCUAUGUAUAUAAAUAUUCUAUUGUCCCCUCUAAUGAGACACAAUGAAAAUUUACUUAACAAUUGGUGCGGUGAGCGUGGACAAAUUUCCAACCGACAGAUUUCUUAAUGAAGAUGGUUCACCCAAAUAAGAAUUUCCCUUUCAAUCUUUCGUCGAGACAGGUUGGAGCCUCGAGUUCUAGCAGUUAACCUAAUGAAGUAGAUUUGUUUGCCGAUCAACUAGAGAACUUCGACAAUGCUGCCUAUCAGGGAGUUUUCGGUCCAUUGGACUUGAACAUAUCCACUGGUUGUGGGUUGCCACUCCUUCACAACCAAUAAGCAUCGUCACAUUAGUUCAUUGCUCUCAAUGAGCAAAUGAAGUUAAUGAAAGAUCAAAUGGUUGCACAAAAGGAACGGUUCGAGCAACAAUAGACUUUUCAGCAAGAGUUAUUGAAAUAGAAUAAAGAGUUAAGAAGGAAGGUAAACUCUGACACUUCUAAUUUUCAUGACAAUGUGAAUGCACAGGACAAAGCUCCAGGUAUGCAUACAAGAGAAUAGCAAAAUGAGAUGGAUGAGUUGCAACGGGACGUGAGAACGUUGCACCCUAAGUCUCAAGACAUGGAUUGACACCAUUUAAUGCAAUACAAUUAUUAUAGCUGAGAGCAUCGGAUUUUAAAAAGUGUAAAGCAUUUUCCACGACACUGAAAGGGAGUGCGAAAGAUUGGUACUUGUCCCUUUCUUAAGGCUCAGUUCAAAGUUUUUCUCAAUUGGGCCAGAUGCUCUUGGAAAGAUUCAGACUCCACAAGGCAACCAUGAGCACGCCUAGGGGUUAAUGUCAAUGAAACAGAGGGAAGGAGAGUCUCUCAAAGAUUAUGUGAAGCGGUUUCAUACAACGAAUUUGAACACGAAGAACUUGGAGGAUCAGUGGGCUAUCGAUGCUUUCAUCAUGGAGGUACAAAAUGAUCAUGUACAAUACUCUUUUACCGAUAACAGGAUAUAAAGUUUGGCAGAUCUGUACCAGCGAGCCUACAAGUUCGUAAAGGCAAAGGAGAUUAAAAAGGUAUCACAUAGUAUUGUUCAGAGGGAAGACAAGCAGUUUAGAAACUGAGAGGCAACUCACAGCAAACAGGGCCCUCCUAACCAGUCAUUGCGAGCAAGAGGUGAUAGCUAGUAGAGAAAUCAGAUGCAAUGUGAUUCUCCCAAGGCUCCCCAGAGAUCUCAACUAGAGCAUACUAGGAAGUACAUUCCCUAAGGUGUGUUUAAAGUUUACACUUAUUUGAAUGCUACCCAUUCUUACAUUCUGAACCAAGAAAAAAGUCUUGGUAUCCUGCCCAAGCCAUCUCCAAUGAGGCAUAGUACAAGGAGGUCCAACUCGAGAGACAGAUGUGCCUUCCACAAUGAUGUUGGACACAAAACUAAGGAUUGUUUCACUCUAAAGGAUGUAAUCGAAGAAGCAGUGAGAAAUGACGAGCUUGCCUAGUUUGUUGAUCAAGGUGUUUCCCAACAAGGUCAGACUUUAGAUGGUGAUCCCAAGGGUAAAUAGAAGGUUAAAGGUACCAUCCAUGUAAUUGUAGGAAUAGAUGAAAAGUGGGUAAGUUCUAGUGCAAAAAAGAAUGCGCAGAUGAGAAGUGUAAUGUCUAUUAACACCCCUAAAAGGUCAUGUCAACAGGGAAGAUAGAGCGUUAAAUUUGGUAAUAAUGAUGAGGAGUUGAUAUGUGACAAAGAGGGUAAUGAUCUGAUGGUUUUGUCUACAACAAUAGUAGGUUUUAAGUUUAAAAGGAUACUUGUAGACAGUGGUAGUGUAGUAGAAAUGUUAUCUUGGGAAGCGUAUCAGAAGACAAGGCUAAAGGAGCAAGCAUUGUCCAAAGCUAGCCCACUGUAUGGUUUUGCAAACUAUCCUGUUAAGGUGAAAGGCUCGACCACUUUACCUGUCACCUUGGGGGAUAACGAGCAUACAACUAUGGAGUAUGUCCAGUUCUUUGUUGUAGACCAUCCCAUGAAGGACAAUGCUAUCUUUGGGCUACCAAUAAUGAGGAUGAAAAAAUCGGUUACUACAACGUUCUACAUGAAUAUUAAGUUUUCAACAAGGAUGGUGGUUGGAUUUUUGAGAUUGGAUCAGUGAAUUACGAGGUAAUAACAUAUGUUGUUGGUUAAGCAAUUCCAAGAGCCAGUAGUUAGAGGAUAGAGUUCGCGGGGGACAGAGUUACCAAGUCAAGUCUUGGACUUGAAUAACGUGGAUGUGAGGGAUGAAGAAAGAAGUAAGAAGCAGUAGAGCAUACUGAGACUUUACAACUAUUCUGUGACAAUGAGGAAAGAAUUGUAAAGAUUUCAUCAGCGUUGGUAACAGAAGACAAGAGCAUAUUGAUUCGGUGUGUGAAGGAAAACUCAGACGUUUUUGCUUGGUUAGCGGCAGACAUGCCAGGGGUAGACCCUCAAGUGAUCGUCCACAAGCUAAAUGUGCUCCCAGGGUCAAAAUCGGUUAAGCGGAAAAAAGAAAGUUCAUUCUGCAAGUGGUAGAGACAAUAAAACAAGAGGUAGCUAAACUAUUAUCAGUAAGUUUUAUCAGGGAGGUUAAGUAUACAGAAUCAGUUUCAAAUGUAGUUAUGGUGAAAAAAGCAAAUGACAAAUGGAGAAUGUGUAUUGAUUUCACUAACCUUAAUAAGGCAUGCCUUAAGGACAGUUUCCCUCUACCUUCAAUUGACCGUUUGGUUGAUGUCUCUACAGGUCACAGAUUUAUAAGCUUUAUGGAUGCCUUCUCGGGCUAUAACCACAUAUUGUUGGAUCAGGAUGGCCAGGAAAAGAUAUCAUUUAUCAUUGAAGAAUGACUUUUCUUAAAACACCCUAUACCCGACCUGGUCGCCAAGCCUAGAUACGGGAUGCCACACCACUAUCCCAUCUUAUGUCCAUCGAAUAGGAAGCUAGAUUCAAGCAAACCAGUCAUCUUUUGUUAACUCGUAUAAGUUUUAAGACGUCUCAACAGUUAGUUAACAUUGUUACUUGCAAAUAAUAUGUUAAUCAAUCAUAAACUCUACCAAAGUUAUGUAUAAGAGCUAAUUAGCAAAAUUUCAUAGAAAUGUCCAUAGGUAUCUAUAUUGAUAUUCAAGUAUCGAUAUUUCCCUUUAUUGGUAUUGAUACCACUUGUAAAAAUGAUACCAAAUGAACUUAUUGUUUCUCGAUUAAAAAACCCAACUAUCGAAAACUAUCGGUACCACUGAACCAAGUAUCGAUAUUUAUUCCCUGAGUAUUGAUACUCAAGCAAAAGUAUCCAUACCUGUAAUACCCAAAAUUUUUUACAAUAAAAUAUUAUCUUUGAUAAAAUAAAACAAGGAAAUAAAUCGACAAAAAGGGGAAAUUUUGGAGUUAUGUCAACAUUGGGAAGUAUAUUAUGACAUAUUAGUUCAAGAAAGGAUUAAAUCGCAAAAGUGAGAAAAGUUUUAUUGCCCAAUAGUAAAUACUGAAAAAUUGAGGGGUUAAAGUGUAAAUAUAAAAAGUUGAAGGACUAGUGGUGUAAAUAGUUUAAGGGUGGAAUGAUCUAGAAAAUAAGGAAAAUGGAUGGAUUAGGACCAAAUUGAAAAAGGUAAAGAAUUUUAAGGGACUAAAUUGCAAUUUUACCAAAUUAAGUGAUGACUCAAGGAUGGAAUUUUAAGAGAUCAUAAAGGGUAAAAUGGUCAAUUAGAAGAGAGAGAAAUCUAGAAGAUAAUGAUGAUGUUGGAGAUAUUUUAUAUUAAUUAAUUAAAUAAAUAUUAGUUUAUUUGUAUUUUAAUUUAAUUUUUAAAUGAUAUUUUAUUAUUUUAUUAUUAUUUUAUUUAGUAUAUAUAUAAGAAAAGGAAGAUGAAGAAGCAUGCAACCCACCAUUUUUCCAUGCACCAACGUGAGAAAAAGAGAGAAAGAAAGAAAGUUUUGCUUUCUUUACAAUUUGGUCCUUCCACCAAAAAUUCACCAUUUUCAUCUAGAAAUCAAAAGAAUUUUCAUAGCCACCAGGAGAGAAAAUUGAUAAGGAGAAUAUUGGGAGCUAGAAUAUCAAGUUCGAUUCAAGAAAUAAAGGCUGGAGGAGAGAGAAAAUCAAGUUAGAGAUUGAAAUCAAUAGAACAAGGUAAGAACAUUAAGAUUUCAAUAUAUUUUUGAGCUUGAUAUUAUUGAAAAAGUAGGGAAUUUAUGUUAAUGUAGGGAUUUAUUAUAUAAGGUUCUAUAUUCUUGAUAUGUUAGUGAAGGGAAACAAGAGGAAUUGAUAGAAAAUAUUGUAGAGAAAAGAAAGGAGGGUGUUAUAAAUUUGAUUAUUAACAUUUUGCACUAAAACAGUUUUGGACAGCUGCAGUAGGUUAAUUUUGAAAAAUCACCAUAAAUUGUGGAAAUUGAAUUAUAGAGUGAAUAAGAUAUUAAAUGAAAUUUUAAUGAGUCUAUUUCUACAUAAAAUAAACAGAGCAAGUAAAAGAGUUAUAUAUUUUGAGAUAUUUGACUUUUAGUUAGGAAGGGUCAGAUUGAUUUUGGAAUCCCCUGUUCUAACUUUUAUAAAUCAUUAUAAAUUGUAAAAAAUAAUUAUAAUUUUUAAUUUAUAUUAUUAAAUUCCUUAAUGAGUCUAUUUUCAAGAGAAAUAAACAAAACUACCAUCAGAAUUUUGUACUAAGAGAUAUUUGAUUUUUAGUGAAGAGAGGUCAGAAAUGGCGGGCAGUGAAACAAGGGAAUCUUUAAAGAAUAAACUGUACCAAUUGGCUAAACUAAAAAUUCUGAAAAUUUCAUGGUAAAUAUAUAUAUGAGUCUAGUUUUAGGGAAAUUAACAGUGCAUAAUUUUAAAUUCUGUAGCUCCAGAUAAAAAUAAUUUAGUGAUACUGACUCGGAUAGAUAGCUUUGAAUAUACUUAAGGGUGAAUAAUGAAACUUUAGAAAAUGUUAUUUCUAAGAGUGUUAAGUACAUUAAGGAUGUGGAAUGGAGUGGAGAAGGAGGAAAAAUAUAUAUGAAUAUUCUGAUAAUAUGAUUUUAUUUUAAAAAUAGCUAAUUUACAUAUUUUAGGUUUAGGGACUAAAUUGAAUAAAAGUAAAAUUGUUAGGGUAAUUUUGUAAAAAUGGAAAAAAUGACGAAAUUUCAAGAAUUGAAUAGUUUUAUUGUCUAAAUUAAUAAAUUGAAUGAAAUUAUUAAUUUAGAUCAAGAUCUCGUGGAAAGUCGAGGGAAAUGCAAAAUUUCCAAAAUGCCCCUAUAUCAUGGUAUUUAUGCAAUUUAGCCUAGUAAGUUUGUAUUACUGUAAUUCAAAUCUAAUUAUUAUUAAUUAUUGUGUUUUAAUUGAAAUACAUGGUAAUUAAAUGGAAAUUGCUAGUGAUAUGAUUUGAAUUGUGAGCAUGAGAAAUUGUGAACUGAAUGAAAUGGAAAUGAAGCAUUGAAUUGCAUGGGCAUGUAUCGGGUCUCGUAGGCCUAUUUAUUAUGAAUAUAAUAUUUUAAGGAUAUAUUGUGAAGAAUUAUAAAAGCAUGUUAAAAAAAAUUUUGAAAGUUUUAAUUUAGAUGAAAUUUUAUAACUAAGUUAAAUACAUUUACAAGUGUAUGUGUUCUAGUAAUGCCUCAUAACCUAUUCCGGCAUCGAAUACGGGUAAGGGGUGUUACAAUACCAAAUCUCUAUUUUGUUUCCUGUACGUUUUAAUUCACAUAGGUAUCAUGUAACACCUCUAACCCGUAUCCGUCGCUAAAACAGGGUUACGAAGCAUUACCGAAAUAUACAGAUCAAGUAAAUAGAUAUUUUAUUUUAUACAGUAUUCAUGUCAAAAAUCAAACAUAAAGUCCCUUAUAUGAACCUUCGAGGUCCAAAACAUGCAUUAGAAAUGAGUCGGGACUAAACUAGGUACUCAGAGAAUUUUUCGCAAAAUUUAAAAAAAAAUUCUUAGGUGCAAGGGUCACACAGCCAAGAGACACACCCGUGUCUCAGGCCGUGUAACUCUCUAACUUGGGUCACACGACCAAGACACACGCCCGUGUGCUAGGCCUUGUGUAAAUACCUGGGCAUUCUGUUUUAAAAUUUUAAAGAUGUAGGGGACACACGAGCAGGUCACACGCCCAUGUACUAGGCCGUGUGUCACACACGGCUGAGAUACACACCCGUGUCUCUGCCUGUGUGGACGAAAAUAGGCUAUUUUCUAAGCCAUAUUUAUCACCCUAUUUUAUCAUCCUCUUACACCAACACUUUAACACAUUCACAAGCUAUUAUAUGUCAUUUAACCCAACUCAAAAUUAAGUCCUAUACAUGAUAUAAUACCUCAUAUAAUCAAGUAUACACACUCACUUAAAUUACGAAGUACACAUAUAUGCAUAACUUAUCAAAUAUGCGAACUUAAUUCAAUCAUUAAUAUGCCAAUAUAAUUUCUAUCAAUCAACCAUUUCAACCACAUACCAAACAUAUCCAUCACAAGCCAUUCCAAUGGCUAGUUACAAUUAAAGCAUUUAUAUGCCGAUAUUGACCAAUUAACCUAUACAUGCCAUUAUAACCAUAAUUAAUUUACCAUAUAUAUUUACCAAAAUGGGCUGAUAGAUAGUGUGAGUGAUCUCUGUCAAGCUUUCAAUCCAACGUAUAAAACAGGGGAAAAUAAAACAGAGUAAGCAUGAAAUGCUUAGUAAGUUCGUAUAACAUGGUAAUUAACUUACCAUUUAUUUAAAUUCAAUAUAAACAUACAAGGCACAGUCAAUCAACUUGAUCACGAGCCCUAACACAUAUCUUCAUUACCCUUGUUAGUCAUAUAAUUCAUAUAAAUAUCAAGAAACAUGUAUGGGCUCAACAAUAAUUAGAUUUCCAUGUACAUAUACUUUCCACAUCAUGUAUUUAUAUAACAUAUAAAAAUCAUAUCCUUGGAUUUCAAGUACAUUUUCAUAAUAAUUCGUCUUGAGUUCAGAUUAUUUCAUAUCGAAACUUUGCCCAUUAAAUCAUUUGAAAUGUCAGUGUCACAUGGGUAAUACACUCAAGGUGUACAAAUCUAUAAUUAUGGAUGAACAUAUUCAUCAAACAAAUUCCAUGUUCAUAUAUUAUCAUCUCGUAUUUCCAUAUAUAUUGUAUCAUCAUUUUCAUGCAUUUCAGGUAGAUACGUGUAUUAAUUCAUUUCAUGUUCAUAUUUUCUCAUGUCAGGAUUUUGACUUUUGAAUCAUUGAAAACAUCGAUGGAUACACAGGUAGUACACUCGAAGUGUACAAAUUAGAAAUCUGUCAAUUCAUAUUCAGAAGUGCUCUUUAAAGCACAUAAUCGGGAAAUCCUCUCUUAAGCCAUAUAACAGGAAGCUCACAAAGAGCCAUUAAUCGGGAAGCUCACAAAAAGCCUAUCAGGAAGCUUAUCCGGGCUAUAUAAUAGGAAGCUCAUAAGAGCCAUAAUUAGGAAGUUUACAAAGAACUUUUAAUCAGAAAGCUCACAAAGAGUAUUUAAUUAGGAGCUCUAAAUAGCCAUAUAUCAGGAAGUUUAAGUGAGUCAUAUCAGGACGCUCACAAAGAGCUACGUUUGUGUCUGCAAUAUAUAUAGGAUCACAACCGAUCAUAUAACAGGACGUUCACAAAAAGCUACAGUAGUCCGCAACACAUGUAAGAUCACUACAGAUCAAGAUGCUUGCAAGAACCAUAUAAUGAGAAGCUCGAGAGAGCUUAUAACAGGAUGCUCGUAGGAGCUAUGGUGUGUCCGCAACACAUGCAGGACCACAACCAAUCAAGAAAUCCUAUAUCCAUCGAUUUCCAUUAUUCAAACGGGAUUUAAUAUUUAUCGGGCUUUGUCGGAUAUGUAACCAAUUUCAUAUAUUUGGCAUUUAUACAAUUCACAUACACAACAUUUAAUUCAAGCAUAUAAAUAUACAAAAUUUAGUUACGCGAACUUACCUUGACAAAUGUUCGUGUAUGUAAAAUCUACUAACCCGACAUUUUCUCUUUUCCUCGUUCUAACUCCGAAUUUGGUCUAUCCGAAUCUAUAUGAAUGAAUUUAACAUUAAUUCAUGUUCAUUUCAAUUCAAUUCACAUCUUAGGCAAAAUUAUCAUUUUGCCCCUAAACUUUUAAUUAAUGAUAAUUUUGUCCCUAAGCUCGAAAAAUGAAAUUUAUGCAAUUUAAUCUUUAUUCCAAGUCUAGCCAAUUUUUACAUGUAAAAUUUAUAGCCCAUGUAUUUAAUAAAAUCCAAAAUUUUUCCAUGAAUUUUACAACUUUUCAAUUUAGUCCCUAAAUCAUAAUUUCAUCAAAAUCCCCUUUGCAAAAGUUGUUUAUCUACUAAUAACCUUUCAUUUUCUACCAUAAAACUUCAUAAUUCAUCUAUGUUCAUCCAUGGAAAAACCCUAGUACCUUGAUAACUUUGCAAAUUAAGCUAUUACGAUCUCGAAAAUAUAAAAAUCAUUAAAAAUGGGAAAGAAUACUUACCUAAUCAAGCAAAAUAAAUUGGCUUGAGCUUAGGUUUCCAUGGCUAGGGUUUCCAUGCUUUUAAUUUGGGAAAGAUGAUAUAAAUGAUGAUAUUUUAAUUUUUUAUCAUUUAUCAUCUUUUAUUAUUUCAUUUUCCAAUUUCAUCCCUUUCUUUAUUUUAUUUUCCAUGGAUGAAUCAUCAUCCUUAACCACUAAGUAUUUUUAAUGGUCUAUUUGCCAUAUAAGGACCUCAAAUUUUGAAUUCCAUAGCUAUUUAAUCCUUUUAGCUAUUAGAACUCAACUUUUGCACUUUGUGCAAUUGGUCCUUUAUCAAAUUAAACAUGUAAUCGGUAAAAUUUCUUUACAAAAUUUUUAUACGACAUUACUAUCAUACUAUAGACCAUAAAAUAAUAUAAAAAUAAUUUUUCUUCCAAAACCGAAUUUGUGGUCCUGAAACCACUUUCCGAUUUUACCGAAAACUGGCUGUUACAUAUCAUAUUUCAAAGUUAUUUCCACUUAUUCUACUUUGGUGAAGUAGUUCCUUAUGAAACAUAUUUCGCAAAACAUCUCUCAUAAUGCAAUUUAUUCUUAACAAAAAAUUCUUUUUGGACGAGAUUUAUUCCCGAAUUAAGGUUAUUUUGAUUUGUUCCAAACGUGAGUUGUUCUCAACAUGAAAAUUACUUUGGAUAAGAGUUGUUCCAUAGUGAUACUUUUCUUUGAAGAACUUGUUCUAAUAAUGGUCCUGGUUCUAAAUAGAAAUUGUUUCAAAUAACUAUUGUUUUGAGCAUAAUUAUUCUUGAAAUGCAAUUAUAUAAAUGAUACUUAUUCUGUAACACCCUUAACCCGAAUUUGUCACUGGAAUAAGGUUACGGAGCAUUAUCGAAGUUUACAAAUUAAUUAUCAGACAUUUCAUUUCAUCUAGCAUUCAUAUUAGAAACCAAUCAAAAUCAUACAUAUUGUACCUUAAACGAGCCAUCGAGGCCCAAAUUACAUAUUAGAAACAAAUAGGGACUAAAUCAAAGGCACAGAAAAUUUUUCAAAAAUAUUUAAAAUUUUCAACACUGCAAGGGUCACACGGCCGUGUCUUAGCCCGUGUCCGAGUCCAUGUGAGUAUACUGACUUGGGUCACACGGCCAAGUCACACACCCGUGAGCUAGGCCGUGUGAGCAUUCUGUUUUGUGCAAAUAUAAGAUACAGGGGACACACAGCUGUGUCACAUGGCUGUAUGUCAAGCACGGUUGAGACACACACUCGUGUCUCUGCCCGUGUGGAUGAAAAUUGAUCAUUUUACAAGCCAUAUUUCUCACCCAAUUCUAUGUUAAUCUAUACAUGCCAUUAUAACCAAAAUCAAAACAUUUGAAAGUACCGAUAGAACCAAUGGAUAGUGUGAUACAACUCCGACAAGCUUCCAACUUAAUUGAGCUUCCGAUAAUCUGAAAAGUAAAGGAAAACACAUACAUAAGAACUGAAUGAUUAGUAAGCUCAUAUAACUUUAAUCAUAAUAUUUCUUUUCAAAUAUGAAAUUUAAACAUAUCAAGAAUAAUCCAAUAUUGAUACCACAAUACUUAUAACGUUAUAUUUAAUAGCUCACUAAGUGAAUAAAUCUACAAUAUCACUAUAUAUAUAUAUAUAUAUAUAUAUAUAUAUAUAUAUAUUAUUCCUAACAUAGUAGGAAUUUUAAACAACUCUUCCAAAAUUUCUUUAUUUUCAUUUGUGUUUCUUUACCUUCCACACUUAUUCCAUAUGUACAACACACCAGUUAUAAGCAUAUCAUUCAACCAUAGCCACAAGCUAGUGCAUUUAAACAUAGACCUUUUUUGAAUUGAUCACAUGAUAACUCAUUUAAUAAGAAAUUGCAUAACCUAAACCUUACCACUCUUUCAUGAGCACAAGCAUAUUUCCAUUUAAGCACUUACCAUUUCAAUGCACCUUAUAAUUAAACAUAUUACCCUUAUUUUUAAAAAAAAAUUUUGAAUAAUAACAAAUGUAAUAUUUAAAACGAUAUGUAUUUAUCUUAUUUGGGGUAUAAUAUAAAGACCGCCAAUUAUAUUUAAGCAUAAUGCAUGAUGUAGUGAUGAUGACUAUAUGGAUAGAAUAUUGGAAUGAUAAAAUAUAAAUAAAUAAAGGUAUACUUUAAUAAUAAUAAAAUAAUCAUUAAACAAAUAGAUAAAGUAACUUAAAAUAAAAUAAACAAAAAAUACAUGAUUGAAAAGACACGACUUAAAAAUGCCAAAAAUAAUAAAAGGAAUAAUAAAAUAACAGAAAAAAUAAAAUAAAAUAAUAAUGAGAUAAUAAUGACAAUAUAACAAUAUGUACAAAUAUGAACAAUAUGAAUUUUAAAAUAAAAAGCAAGGCAAUAAUAAUAAAUAAAUAAAUAAAUAAAAUCCAAUGACUGAAAUUAAAUAAAUAAAGGAUUUAAUUGAAAUUUAAAUGAAACUAGGGGUAUAAAUUGCAAAUAAUAAAAUUAGGUGAAUAAGGAUUAAAAUGUAACGCGCUAAAAAGGAUAGGGACUAAAAAGGAAAAUAUCAUUUGUCCUUAUGCGCAUCGUUUCUUAGGUGGACCAAAAUAAAAAAGAAAUGAAAUUUUAUGGAAAAAUUUGUAAAUAUAUAAAAAUAGAUAGGACGAGAUUGAAAAAUAAAUAAAAGGCGGAAGGGUCGAGACUGCAAAUAACCCAUUGGUCACGAAAACACGCAGAUCUUAGCUACUUUCGGGUCGAGUCUCAGGUUUGAGUCAAAACGAUGUCAUUUUGACGUCUGCAAAUCGGCCCAAAAUGGUGUCGUUUUAUACCAUAUAUUUAAGCCAACAAUCUUCCAAAAAAAUUUCAUUUCUGCCUUUAAAAUUAAAGGGCCUAUUUUGGCCGUUUCAUUUCCCUCGGCCUCGAUCUGAGGCUAAAAUACCCAAGCAACCCACCAAAAUUCAGAAAAAGAAAGAAAAAAACAAAGGGACCUUCCGGUUCCUAGUCACUCCCGACGAGGUUUUCAGCCACCUUCUAGACCAGAGAAAUCUCUGGCGACGGCGGUUAAGGUAAAACCUUUCGUAUUUUUUUAUAUAUAUCUCUCUAUAUAAAUACAAUAUGUUUUAAAAGAAAAUAAAUAUGCCAAGGAGAAACAAAUACCUUUCUUAAAAACUAUUAUGAGUUUUUUAUAUUUCUUCUGAUUGACUUUUUUUUUUUUUUGCGUAUAUAUCUCUGUAAAAAUUACAAACUGGGGUAUUGGCCUUUAUAGCCAUGAGUUACAUCAGAUUGCUAUUUUGUACUAUUCAUUUCCACUGUUUUUGUUACUAUUUUUGUUGGUUCUUUUGUUGUUUCUGUCUUCUCUCUUUGUCCUUUUCUGCAGGCAUCGGCGUGGUCAACGGAGGGCAAUGAGACGCGCACCUUCGCCAUUUUGGUGCAACGGUGGCAGCAAGGGUGCGUCAUGGCCUCAAGACGAGGCACCUCGGCGGCGUGCGAGUGAAAGGGAGGAGCGGCAAAGAGGGACUUAGGGUUUUUUGGUUUACCAGAAACGUUUAAGUCUUUCGGGCCAUUGGGCCUCUUUUUCAUUUGGGCCUGUAAAUUUGGACUGUUAUUAUUUUUCUUUUUGGUUUGGUUUAUUUUUAUUCGGGCCAGAUAAAAUUGGCCUGUUACAAUUACGUUUAUUUUCUUUAAAUUAAGAGUUAUUUUUUAAUUUAAUUUAAUGUAUUAUUUAUUUUAUUAUUUUCCACAUGUAAUUAUCUUAUUGUAUUAUCUAAGUAAUAAAUUACAUCUCAUUAAAAAUGUUUCACAUAUAAAAUUCCACAUCAUCUCCAUUAACUUUUUUAAUGGUACUUUCAUUAAAUCUAUUAAAAAAUACAGAUUAAAAAAAAAAGAACAAAGGUUGAUGACUCAAAAAUGCAAUUAGAGCCAUUUUGACAAAACAUGGAAACGUUAGUAGCUAAAUUUGUCAUUAAGCCUAAAAAAUUAAUAAACGUUCUUUAUAGGAUAUUUGAAAAGAAAAUUAGAUAAAAAGGCACAUAAAUAUUUAGUCUUAUUUAUAGGAUUUUUAAAAAAAAAUUUACUAAAAAUGCAUAGGAAAAUAACUCCUAUUUUUAUUGUAUCAGAAUAAUUUUUUCUUAUUUACACUAAAGUAAUUAAGUAUAAAAUUAAAAAUUAAUUAUUGUUCUAAGAGAUUACAAGUACAAUUACAAUUAUAAACUUAAAAAAUAGGUUUAUUUCUAUCGAAUUCGAAUUUAAAUAUUUGAAUUCAAAUCCUACCCAUAUUUUAAAUAGAUUUAAUUUUUCUAGGAGUUUUUAAAUUUUGAUGGACAACUUAAUCCUUCAAUCGAUCUAAAAUAAAAUGAUAAAGCUUAAAAGGAUUUGCUUUUUGGAAUAUAUUUUUUUAAAAUUUAAGAAUAAAUUUACAUUGAAAAAGAAGGGUUGAUGUGUAAUGAAAAAAAAAACAUCGCAUAAUAUUAUUGGAAGGACUAUAUCGUAUACUAUAAGAAGAGUUUACCGAAUAAUUUCUUUAAUUGGAAGAGAUUACAUUACAUUAUCAAAGUUUGAGCAUCAAUUUUUUAGUUCUAAUUGCUAAAAAAAACAUUAUCUGUACUUAUUAUAAAAAUUUUAAUAAACCUUAUGUUACGGGUUAAUCAGAUACUAACUCGGUUGAAAAAAAAUUAAUACAUUUUUUUAAAUGACUAUUAUGAUGAUUCUUCUGUCCUUUUAAAAUUAAGGGACCGCAAAGGGUUCGGAUUUUUUUUCUGGUUGGGCCUUCAAACAGAGAUUGCUUACUCAAAUAGAGCGACUAAGGCGUGGUGUGGGAAGUGAAGCAAGGUGUCUAAUCUGUGGCCAUGAAACAGAGGAUGUUCUUCAUGCUAUAAGGGAUUGUGAUGCAGCGAAACAGGUAUGGUUCUGCAUCGUCCCUCCCCAUAACCUAACCUUUUUCUUUUCAAGUAAUUUACCGGAGUCGCUUGAAUGCAAUUUGGAUAAUCGACUCAAUUUAACCUGGAGGAAUGUCAAUUGGCCGUGCUUCUUUGGAAGAACAAGAAUAUAUACACCUUUAACGGGGUCCAGUGCACAUAGUUGGGCCAACCAAUACAUUUCAUCUUGCAAGGAAGGAACCCCAAUGAGAUUGAGCUCGAGAGAAUAGACAGUAAAAACAAGAAGAUUGAGUCGAUUAAGAUCCGAUGGAGCCAUUAAAUUUAACACAGGUUAUGCUGCAACAGGUGGUGUAUUGAGAGUCACAGUGGCAAAUGCUUACUCGGGUUCAAUUGCAUAUUAGGUAAAUGUUCUAUUUUUGAAGCUGAAUUGUAGGGCAUCCUCAAUGGUGUGAUGUUGACACAAGGCAGAAUACAUGAUAGAAUUGUGAUACAAUCAGACAAUAUGGAAGUUACCGGAGCUAUCAAUGAGUCCUUGAGGGGAUCAAAUUCUGCAUUAAUCAGGCAUAACUUACCGCUUUUGCAAAAUGAGGAAAAUUUGUUGAUUGAAUAUGUUCCUAGAGACGAAAACAGAGAAACUGAUAGUAUUACCAAGCUGGCCUUUAGCAGGGAGGAGGGUCUACAGUUAUAUGAAACUUCUCCUCUUGAAACUUCUAGUAUUUCAUAAUAGUUUCCAUUUUUUUCACCAAAAAAAAAAGAAAUAAAAACCAUAUAUCAAAAAAUCGAACUUAGAUAAAAUUUAUAUACAAUUUUUUUUUUCAGAAAUGUUUUUUCUUAUAACAUAACCUAUUAAUUAUUUUAAUAACACCAAACAUUAUUGCUAACAUAACAUUACAACAUUAUAGCAUUCGCCAAAAACUUAAAUGAGAAAUUAGGAAGAGUAAUCGAGCUCGAGUUCUUUGUUGCUCAGACUCGAUAAAAUGAGAGCUAUAUUUGUGUCGACAGGGAAUAUGUGUUGGAUUUGUCGGAUUCUUAUAAUUGAGUAAGAAAAGAAAAAGGAAAAAUAAAAAGAAGAUGGAAAAGAAAGAAACAGGCAAACAAAAUCAAAUGAAAAUCGAGAAAAUAAAGUUGAAUGUGUCCAAAACAAGUAGAAUGCUUUAUCUUUUCAACGUCAAUUUCAUGUGAAUUACUAUUCCUUCAAUUUGGUUUGUCUUUUGCAAUCAUUACAAUAUUUGAUUACAAUGUACUCUAAGGUGAUAAUCAAGUUUCUUGUAGAUUAAUCAAUAAUCUCUAGUAGAAGAGCCUAGUUACUACUACUCACUCUCCAUCAACUUUCCUCCAAAUAUAGCACUAAUGUUUGUUUUGAGAAACUACCUCUCUUCUUUUGUUCUCAGUUUGUUUAGAGGUGUGUUAAUUGGCCAGCCUUUCUGCGACAAAAAUGAAUCUUGAAAAUCUCCGAAGUACCAAGUAAAUCCCAUCGAUUUCUUCAACUUAGCUCCUAAGUUCCAAUGGUUAGAUUCGAUAAUGAGACAUCCUCCUCUUCCUCCUCCUCCUCCUCCUCCUCCUCCUCCUCAUCAUCAUCAUCAUCAUUGGAAUCAUCUUCUUCAGUUUCUCGAGGGAAAUAUGAUGUUUUCUUGAGUUUCAGAGGUGAGGAUACCCGCAGGAAUUUCACGGAUCAUCUUUAUGCUGCAUUCAAAAGGAGAGGAAUCACCACUUUUAGGGAUGACGAAAAGCUCAAGACAGGUGAACCCAUAGCACCUGAGCUCUUCAAAGCAAUUCAUGAGUCAUGGUGCUCUGUAAUCGUUUUGUCGGAAGGGUAUUGUUUUUCGAGUUGGUGCCUAGAAGAGCUUUCCGAGAUUAUUCAACAGAAAAACGACAAGGGACAUAAUGUCUUCCCCAUUUUCUAUUAUGUGGAUCCAUCUGAUUUGAGAAAACAAACCGGAAAAGUUCUAGAAGCUUUUAUUAAGCAUGAAAAUAAUUUCCAGGACAACAAAGAGAAGACACAAAGGUGGCGAUCUGCUUUAACUCAAGUAGCUAACAUCAAAGGAUGGCACUUGAGUAACAGGUAACUAUCAUAUUCUUUCACUUCAAUAAUAUCUUACCAGCAUCAAGAUUGAAAUUUGAGGCAUUAGCUAAGGACUGUGCCCUUAAUGUUUCACUAAGCUAUUUCCUUUGCUUUGUAUUUGAAGGCAUGAAUCAGAACUUAUUGGAGAAAUCAUUGAAAAGGUAUCAACAAAAUUAUGUCAAACAUUUGCAAGUGCUCCUAAUGACAUGAUUGGAAUUGAAUCACGUUUGGAAGAGUUAAAUUGCAAAAUAGGCAUAGGGGAGGAAGAUGAUAGUGUUCGGAUUAUAGGGAUUUGUGGUAUGGGCGGGUUAGGUAAAACAACUCUUGCAAGAUCUGUUUAUACCCAAAUUUCAAGUCAUUUUGAAGGCCAAAGCUUUCUGGCCGAUGUUCGUGAAGUUGCGGAGAAACAUGGACUUGUUUGUUUGCAGAAACAACUUCUUUCCCAAAUUUUUCCAGAGGAAAGUUUCAACUUUUUUAAUGUUCAUGAUGGGAAUGACAUCAUACGUCAUAUGUUAUCUCAUAAAAGGAUUUUUGUUGUUAUUGAUGAUGUCGAUAACAUACAACACUUAAAACGUUUAUUAGGCAAGCGAGCUUGGUUUGGUUUAGGAAGCAGGAUCAUCAUAACAACAAGAGACGAGCAUCUGCUGCAAAUCUACGGAGUGGAUGAUGUGUAUAAUCCGACGAAAUUGAAUGCCAAGGAAGCACUUCGCCUUUUCAGUUUGAAAGCUUUCAAAAGUGAAACACCUGCAAUGGAAUUUUUUGAGCUUUCUAAACGUGUAGUGGAAUAUGCCAAUGGCCUUCCGUUAGCUCUUGAAGUUUUUGGUUCUUUUCUGUCUGGCAGAUCAGAUGAAGCUCAAUGGAGAAGUGCUAUUGAAAGACUUAAAAAGAAGUCCAACAAAGAAAUUCUAGACAGGCUUCAAAUAAGCUUUGAUGGGUUAGGACAAUCGGAGAAAGAUAUAUUUUUAGAUAUUGCAUGCUUCUUCAAAGGAGAAGACAAAGAUAUGGUAACCAAAAUUCUCGAUGGUUGUGGCUUUUUCCCGGAUAUUGGAAUAGAUGUUCUCAUCAAGAAAUCUCUUGUAACAAUCGAUGAAGACAACAAAUUGUCGAUGCACGACUUGUUACAAGAGAUGGGAAGGAAAAUUGUUUACCAAGAAUCUCCUAAUGAACCUGGAAAACGUAGUAGAUUGUGGGACGAAAAGGAUACGAAUUAUGUGCUAAUAGAAAAC